AUUAAUGGCACUUGAUUUUGUUUUAUAAACUUGAUCCUUUUUCAGUUCAGGACAUAACAUGUUAUCACCAAACAUCAACAUUACUUCAACUUUAUAAAACAAAAUCAAGUGCCAUUAAUGCAUUGCACAACGAAACAACAUUAAUGACUUAAACAUAGCUGUCAAUUAAUGAUUUCCUCAUUUCAUCUACUAUGGCACUUGGCUGAGCUUCUCUCAGCUUGAAAACACUCUCAAUUACAGACAGUUCAGUAGCUGUGGUAUCUGACCCACAGAAUGCUGUCCAGUCAUUCACAGUCAUGCCAGCAGCUAUCAC
This 313-nucleotide unclassified non-coding RNA is filed under the name Hevea brasiliensis (rubber tree). Lineage: Eukaryota; Viridiplantae; Streptophyta; Magnoliopsida; Malpighiales; Euphorbiaceae. The record is from RNAcentral.